UGUUUUGUUUACAGAUAUAAGAUACCACUUGGAGACGUAAUCAUUACAGCAGGCUAGUUUUGGUUGCAGUCUCCGCUUAAUAUUCCCAGGUUAAUUCAUACUCUGUUGUAACAUUUUAAUAUUUUAUUUUCACCAACAUACUCUCUCUCUCUCUCUGGGAUCUGCAGACAAUCAAAUUUGCAGCUAUGGAAGCUUCUUCAGGUUUAACGACAACUUCGGAAUCUAUCAACCACAGUGAUGAUGGCGAAAAGUAUGCUAAUGGUGUCAACUGGGAUGAACUGGCAUUUGGAAUAACUCCAACUGAUUCGAUGUACACCAUGAACUGCUCCGAUGAAAAUAACUUUUCACAAGGACAUCUCAUUCCCUAUGGAAAUAUUGAGCUUUGUCCAUCUGCUGGAAUUUUGAAUUAUGGAUAGGGAGUACUUGAAGCUCUUAAGGCGGUAAGAACAGAAGAUGGU
RNAcentral lists this long non-coding RNA (458 nucleotides) under Rosa chinensis. RNAcentral's name for it is "sRNA RchiOBHm_Chr6g0247231". The record is from RNAcentral. Lineage: Eukaryota; Viridiplantae; Streptophyta; Magnoliopsida; Rosales; Rosaceae.